RNAcentral lists this antisense RNA (75 nucleotides) under Micromonospora sp. CNZ309. RNAcentral's name for it is "ASpks TB sRNA". It matches the Rfam family "ASpks TB sRNA". The record is from RNAcentral. Lineage: Bacteria; Bacillati; Actinomycetota; Actinomycetes; Micromonosporales; Micromonosporaceae.
CUUCACCGACCCCAACAGCAGCGGCCGGCCCUGCGGACGGUCCUGCCCGUACGUGGCCAGCAGGGCCUGCGCCUC